RNAcentral lists this long non-coding RNA (245 nucleotides) under Ananas comosus (pineapple). Its description in RNAcentral is "long non-coding RNA (ACOM_LNC037197)". The record is from RNAcentral. Lineage: Eukaryota; Viridiplantae; Streptophyta; Magnoliopsida; Poales; Bromeliaceae.
CCACCGUCAACCACGAAGGUACCCGACAGUCCGGAACAGUCUAUACACUACUGUAAAAAUAAACUCGGCAUCCCAACAUGAACGUAAAUUCAUUCUACACUAUUCUGGGCAUCUACUGCCUACAAACUGCAACGAUAGAAACAAACUACAGCUCCUAAAGUUAAAUAUGGUAGUUUUCAGAAAAUGACAGUGUAGAACCUAUAGUUUUCUCCUAAGUCAAAUCCAAGUCCAACAUGUAUAAUAAA